GAGCCGGAGGGGCUGCACUGCACCGAGCUUGCACAGGGCGAGGCGGGGGCAGGACCUGGGACCCAGCCACCCCGGAGGAAACCGGAGAGGAAACCAGCUUGGUCUUGCUCUCUGCCUCGUCCCAAUCCCCGGCUCUUACCAAAUGCAGAUCCGUUGGCUGAAUGCCUUUUAGUCUGCAUACAUGCAUCUCAUACCGCACAGCCCAAAUUUCUACAACUUGUCCAGGUGCAGUCUCCUCAGAACUACAAAGCAAGAAAAGAUCACCUUUGGGCUCAGGAACUCACAGUCGUUCUCCCUCUCCCGGAAGGCACAAUGACCAGGACAGUACCGAGCUUUACAGCCAUAUUGAACUCACCAUCAACUCAGCACAUUCAACUCAAUCAGUCAAAAUCGUCUUUUCCUGCUGGUAAAUAACACUGAAAUCUCUGUAGGACAGACAUCAGACAUGGGUCUCACUGGACUCACAUCAAGAUGCCAGCAGGUUGCAUUCCUUUCUGGAAGCUCUAGGUGGAAAAAUGUGUCCCCUUUUUAAGGUCACAGAUGCCUCCCACAUCCCUUGGCUCAUGGACCCCUUCCUCUUUCUUCAAAGUCAGCAACAUCAUUUCUCUCUGACCCUUCUUCAUGGUCCUCUCUCCCUCUGACUCUGAACUCAGCCAGGAAUGGUUCGUGGAUUUCAAGGACCCUUGUGACUAUAUUUAGUGUCCUCCCAGGUGUACUAGGAUCAUCUUCCCAUUUCAAGGUUUUUAACUUUAUUACAUCUGCACAGUCCCUUUAUCCACAUAAGGGGACAUAUUCAUGGGUCCUGGGGACUAACGUGGGGCAUCUUUAGGGUGCCUUGAUUCUGCCUAUUGCAAUAUCUCAUCACAGAGACUCAGUGGCUCCCCACACAGCUGCAGCCACCAAGCCCAGCACCUCUCUCUCUCCUCUUCAUUGCACAGCUGAACAGAAUGCACAGUGAACAACGUCUUACUCCUUGUGCGAAGAGCUGCUGCAUGAUGAUUUGAAUGCAGGAUAAAAACCACACACUCCCAGCAAACACCGUGCCUUCCCCUUGGUUCAAGGAUGACACUAUUGUUCCCAUCACAUUCAAACAUGUGCAUUUGGAAGAUGUCUCCAUUUCUAGAUCCUUUAUUGUCAGGGAAUAUGAAUUCUCAAGUGCAAGAGAAAUUCAGUUCUGCCAGGUCUAUUAGCCCUUAUGUGCAUUUAAGGAGCCUGAUGUGUCAGGGUUGACACAAUGAACUCCAAGGACACUGCUCAAAAUGGCCCCUCCAACUGGGCACAGCUCUGUACCAGGAACAGUGCCAAUGAGCAUGUGUAUUUGUGUGUUUUUAUACCCAAGUGCUGUAAAAGAAGGCGGUCUGCUUAAAGACUUACAGUUCCAAAGAAGGCAAAUGUAAGGGCAAAAUUCAUGAUGCUCUGUCACCUUGAGCUUCAGCUUCCUGCCUUGUUGAUGAGGAAAAUGAUCCCUACUAAGCCGGGUGUUGUAAAUAGUAGGCAAUAUCAUAAAACCCCUAGCAAGAUGCACUACAUACAAGGCAAUGAAGAAAAAGUGGCUACUUUUUCUUCACUUUUGUUUGUUCUCUGAUCUGUGCAAUUAUUUGUACCAAAUAUACUUGAAGUAUGAAGUUGGUGGCUAUUGUCACAAAGGUAACAAAACCUGCUUUUAAGAGACUUGGAGUUUAUCAAAGGUUACAUGUAGACAGAAUGAGGCCCAGUAGACUUUUCACCAGGAAGGCAGACUUUGUCCUGGGCCUUGGAAGAUUGCAAAGAGAGGAAGAAAGAAAAAGUUUCUCCUUACACUGGGAAAAGUUCAUGCAAAGGCAGAGAGGAAGAGCAGAGCCCGAGAUGUUCAAGACAGGGCUAGUGUGUAGCAAGUAAGUGAUGUGGACACACACAGCCAGUUUUCCUGCUGGUUUACCAGGUAAAAUCAAAAGACCCUCAUGCCAGCCAGGCGCAGUGGCUCACUCCUGUAAUCCCAGAACUUUGGGAGGCCAAGGCGGGCAGAUCACGAGGUCAGGAGAUCGAGACCAUCCUGGCCAACACGGUGAAACCCCGUCUCUACUAAAAAUACAAAAAAUUAGCCGGACGUGGUGGCAGGUGCCUGUAGUCCCAGCUACUUGGGAGGCUGAGGCAGGAGAAUGGCGUGAACCUGGGAGGUGUAGCUUGCAGUGAGCAGAGAUCCAGCCACUACACUCCAGCCUGGCCGACAGAGGGACUCCGUCUGAAAAAAAAAAAAAAA
Molecule: long non-coding RNA, 2239 nt
Filed under: Homo sapiens (human)
Lineage: Eukaryota; Metazoa; Chordata; Mammalia; Primates; Hominidae
Description: long independently transcribed non-coding RNA 1550, transcript variant 5 (LINC01550)
Source: RNAcentral